Molecule: microRNA, 23 nt
Filed under: Anopheles gambiae (African malaria mosquito)
Lineage: Eukaryota; Metazoa; Arthropoda; Insecta; Diptera; Culicidae
Description: aga-miR-10374-3p
Source: miRBase by way of RNAcentral
CUUUGUUUAAAUUGUUUGUCGCC